This 256-nucleotide ribosomal RNA is filed under the name uncultured bacterium. RNAcentral describes it as "partial 16S ribosomal RNA". It matches the Rfam family "Bacterial small subunit ribosomal RNA", at positions 524 to 776 of the family's 1533-position model. The record is from RNAcentral.
UACGUAGGGUGCAAGCGUUAAUCGGAAUUACUGGGCGUAAAGCGUGCGCAGGCGGCUAUGCAAGACAGAUGUGAAAUCCCCGGGCUCAACCUGGGAACUGCAUCUGUGACUGCAUAGCUAGAGUACGGUAGAGGGGGGAUGGAAUUCCGCGUGUAGCAGUGAAAUGCGUAGAUAUGCGGAGGAACACCGAUGGCGAAGGCAAUCCCCUGGACCUGUACUGACGCUCAUGCACGAAAAGCGUGGGGGAGCAAACAGG